RNAcentral lists this ribosomal RNA (458 nucleotides) under uncultured bacterium. Its description in RNAcentral is "partial 16S ribosomal RNA". It matches the Rfam family "Bacterial small subunit ribosomal RNA", at positions 28 to 507 of the family's 1533-position model. The record is from RNAcentral.
GAUAAACGCUGGCGGCGUGCAUGAGACAUGCAAGUCGAACGAAGGAUCGGGCUUGCUCGCUCCUUAGUGGCGGCCGGCUGCGUAACGCGUAGGUGACCUACCCCGAAGUGGGGGAUAACUGCCCGAAAGGGUGGCUAAUACCGCAUGUGGUCGCACGUUCAUUCGUGCGAGUUAAGCCGCAAGGCGCGUCGGGGGGGGCCUGCGUCCGUUUAGCGGGUUGGUGUGGGAAUGGCUUACCAAGGCGACGUUCGGUAGGUGGUCUGAGAGGACGAGCACCCAGACUGGGACUGAGACACGGCCGGGAAUCCUACGGGAGGCAGCAGUCGGGAAUGGUGCUCAAUGGGGGAAGCCCUGAAGCAGCAACGCCGCGUGAGGGAUGAAGGCCUUCGGGUUGUAAACCGCUUUUGUCAGGGAUGAUGAUGACGGUACCUGGCGAAUAAGCCACGGCUAACUACGUG